Molecule: long non-coding RNA, 1213 nt
Organism: Passer domesticus (house sparrow)
Lineage: Eukaryota; Metazoa; Chordata; Aves; Passeriformes; Passeridae
Exons: 3
Source: RefSeq, a predicted model, not a curated record
CGGGGCUCACUGAGGGGACAUGAUGUUGACGACAGUGAGGGCACGGAGGGAGGUGGCACUGGCUCAGUCACAGCCCUGGGAUUAGUACGGGGAUGUGGGGGGAGACGGCACUGGGGACACUGAGGGGCAUGAGGGCAGAUGGCACUGGGAACACUGAGGGGCAUGAGGGACCUUGGGUCUGUCGUGGCCCUGACGUCAGUGAGGGACAGUAGCAUUUGGGAGACUGCCAUGACACAGUGAGGGGACACAGGAGAGGGUGGCAUUGGUUCUUCCACAGCAGGGAGGAUGUGAGGGAGAUAAGAGGAGUGGAUUCCCUCACAGUCCAGGGCGACAGGAGGGGACAGUGCUGGUGCCUUCUGAGUGGACACACGCUCCCCACCAGGCUCUGGAGAUGCAGAAACAUUGCAUUAAAGAGGAUCCCAAGGAUCAGAGCUUGUCUUGGCAUGUGGGGAGGAAGCCCGAAGUUGGCAUGGAGAACGUGAUCCCCAGAAGAGCCAUCAGGUGCUUGUCAUGGAUGGAGAGUGAGGAAGCACAGAGCGAGUCACUGAGGGGAAUCACCCCCUGCAGCAAGGUGUGUUACAUGCAAGAUACUCCCAAGAUACCAGUGCAGUCAUAGGGCACCUCAGUAAUGCUGCCAGUGAUCCAGGGGGAAAUUAAAGAGGCACAGGGAACACUUCAGGAAUUGCAGUAUGGAUUCCAGGAGGAAAAAUAAAAUUAGUAUUAGGAAAACCAUGGAAGAAACUGCUGAGUUAUAAGGAGAAGUCAACUGUUAGCCCUGUGAGCACACCUCCAUUUCUACAGGCACAAGUGGUUUGGUUUUAAACUCCUUCCCAUUUCCAUUUGUUAACACAGAGACUGGGAACCAGACAUUCCUUUGGCAGUGGCUCUUGGGAGGGAUUUCAGUCACCAACCACUCACAUCCUUGUGUUUGACUCAGUGCUUUAUUGGCAAGCUCACAGCACCUUGUAAUUAGCACAUGUGGUUGCUGGAGGUAAUUAUGUCACAGUCUAGUGAUUACACUUCCGGGGGUCCUGGCACCCCCAGUGUACCCCCAGGGAAUGAGGCACAGCAGAUAAUCAAUGUAAGGACACAGUCAAUCAAAAUCCAGGUGGGCCAGCAGGAUUUCCCAAAUCCCAUUCUGGUGACAAACUGGCCCAAAAAGUGGUUCCCUUGGCAAAGCCACACCAAGCACGUGCUCAGACAUGGGAGUGCA